AUUGAACGCUGGCGGCAGGCCUAACACAUGCAAGUCGAACGGUAACAGGAAGCAGCUUGCUGCUUCGCUGACGAGUGGCGGACGGGUGAGUAAUGUCUGGGAAACUGCCUGUUGGAGGGGGAUAACUACUGGAAACGGUGGCUAAUACCGCAUAACACCGCAAGACCAAAGAGGGGGACCUUAGGGCCUCUUGCCAUCGGAUGUGCCCAGACGGGAUUAGCUAGUUGGUGGGGUAACGGCCCACCAAGGCGACGAUCCCUAGCUGGUCUGAGAGGAUGACCAGCCACACUGGAACUGAGACACGGCCCAGACUCCUACGGGAGGCAGCAGUGGGGAAUAUUGCACAAUGGGCGCAAGCCUGAUGCAGCCAUGCCGCGUGUAUGAAGAAGGCCUUCGGGUUGUAAAGUACUUUCAGCGGGGAGGAAGGGAGUAAAGUUAAUACCUUGGCUUAUUGACGUUACCCGCAGAAGAAGCACCGGCUAACUCCGUG
Molecule: ribosomal RNA, 490 nt
Filed under: uncultured bacterium
Lineage: Bacteria
Description: partial 16S ribosomal RNA
Rfam family: Bacterial small subunit ribosomal RNA
Source: RNAcentral